CAGCCGCGGUAAAACAUGCAAGUCGAGCGAUUCUCUUCGGAGAAGAGCGGCGGACGGGUGAGUAACGCGUGGGUAACCUGCCCUGUACACACGGAUAACAUACCGAAAGGUAUGCUAAUACGGGAUAAUAUGAGAGAGUCGCAUGGCUUUCUUAUCAAAGCUCCGGCGGUACAGGAUGGACCCGCGUCUGAUUAGCUAGUUGGUGAGGUAAUGGCUCACAAGGCGACGAUCAGUAGCCGACCUGAGAGGGUGAUCGGCCACAUUGGAACUGAGACACAGUCCAAACUCCUACGGGAGGCAGCAGUGGGGAAUAUUGCACAAUGGGCGAAAGCCUGAUGCAGCAACGCCGCGUGAGCGAUGAAGGCCUUGGGGUCGUAAAGCUCUGUCCUCAAGGAAGAUAAUGGCGGUACUUGAGGAGGAAGCCCCGGCUAACUACGUGCCAGCAGCCGCAGUAAAAC
This 458-nucleotide ribosomal RNA is filed under the name uncultured bacterium. Its description in RNAcentral is "bacterial SSU rRNA". It matches the Rfam family "Bacterial small subunit ribosomal RNA", at positions 39 to 526 of the family's 1533-position model. The record is from RNAcentral.